RNAcentral lists this ribosomal RNA (253 nucleotides) under uncultured bacterium. RNAcentral's name for it is "partial 16S ribosomal RNA". It matches the Rfam family "Bacterial small subunit ribosomal RNA", at positions 524 to 776 of the family's 1533-position model. The record is from RNAcentral.
UACGUAGGGGGCUAGCGUUAUCCGGAUUUACUGGGUGUAAAGGGAGCGUAGACGGCAUGGCAAGUCAGAUGUGAAAGCCCGGGGCUCAACCCCGGGACUGCAUUUGAAACUGUCAGGCUGGAGUGCAGGAGAGGUAAGUGGAAUUCCUAGUGUAGCGGUGAAAUGCGUAGAUAUUAGGAGGAACACCAGUGGCGAAGGCGGCUUACUGGACUGUAACUGACGUUGAGGCUCGAAAGCGUGGGGAGCAAACAGG